RNAcentral lists this ribosomal RNA (301 nucleotides) under uncultured bacterium. Its description in RNAcentral is "partial 16S ribosomal RNA". It matches the Rfam family "Bacterial small subunit ribosomal RNA", at positions 509 to 807 of the family's 1533-position model. The record is from RNAcentral.
CAGCAGCCGCGGGAAUACAGAGGGUGCGAGCGUUAAUCGGAUUUACUGGGCGUAAAGCGUGCGUAGGCGGCUUCUUAAGUCGGAUGUGAAAUCCCUGAGCUUAACUUAGGAAUUGCAUUCGAUACUGGUUAGCUAGAGUGUGGGAGAGGAUGGUAGAAUUCCAGGUGUAGCGGUGAAAUGCGUAGAGAUCUGGAGGAAUACCGAUGGCGAAGGCAGCCAUCUGGCCUAACACUGACGCUGAGGUACGAAAGCAUGGGGAGCAAACAGGAUUAGAUACCCCGGUAGUCCCUGUCUCUUAUAC